CCGGUUGAUCCUGCCGGAGGCUACUGCUAUUGGGAUUCGAUUAAGCCAUGCGAGUCGAUUGCUCUUCGGAGCAAGGCAGACGGCUCAGUAACACGUGGAUAAUCUGCCCUUAGGUGGAGGAUAAUCCCGAGAAAUUGGGCAUAAUACUCCAUAGUUCUAAUAUGCUGGAAUGCUUUUAGAACGAAAGCUACAGCGCCUAAGGAUGAGUCUGCGCACUAUCAGGUUGUAGUGAGUGUAACGUCCUCACUAGCCUAUUACGGUUACGGGUCGUGAGAGCGAUUGCCCGGAGAUGGACUCUGAGACACGAGUCCAGGUCCUACGGGACGCAGCAGGCGCGAAAACUUCACAAUGCUGGCAACAGCGAUGAGGGAAUCCCAAGUGCUAACACAUUGUGUUAGCUGUUUAUCUGUCUAAAAAACAGGUAGAGUAAGGGCUGGGUAAGACCGGUGCCAGCCGCCGCGGUAAUACCGGCAGCUCAAGUGGUAGCCGCUUUUAUUGGGCCUAAAGCGUCCGUAGCCGGUCUGGUAAACCCUUGGGUAAAUCGUAUAGCUUAACUAUACGAAUUCCGAGGAGACUGCCAGACUUGAGACCGGGGGAGGUCGGAGGUACUCCUAGGGUAGGGGUGAAAUCUUAUAAUCCUAGGGGGACCGCCAGUGGCGAAGGCGUCCGACUAGAACGGCUCUGACGGUAAGGGACGAAACCCUGGGGCACAAACCGGAUUAGAUACCCGGGUAGUCCAGGGCGUAAACGCUGCNGGCUUGGUGUUGGGGGUCCCGCGAGGGCGUCCAGUGCCGGAGAGAAGUUGUUAAGCCUGCCGCCUGGGGAGUACGGCCGCAAGGUUGAAACUUAAAGGAAUUGGCGGGGGAGCACAGCAACGGGUGGAGCGUGCGGUUUAAUUGGAUUCAACGCCGGAAAACUCACCGGAGGCGACGGUUACAUGAAGGCCAAGCUGAUGACUUUGCCAGAUUUUCCGAGAGGUGGUGCAUGGCCGUCGUCAGUUCGUACCGCAAGGCGUUCUGUUAAGUCAGACAACGAACGAGACCCCUACCAUUAUUUACCAACAGAUGGUCCGCCAUCUGCGCACAAUAAUGGGACCGCUGGCGCUAAGCCAGAGGAAGGUGGGGGCAACGGUAGGUCAGUAUGCCCUGAAUCCUCCGGGCUACACGCGCGCUACAAAGGAUAGGACAAUGGGUUGCGAUACCGAGAGGUAAAGCUAAUCCCGAAACCUAUUCGUAGUUCGGAUUGAGGAUUGUAACUCAUCCUCAUGAAGCUGGAAUCCGUAGUAAUCGCGGGUCAACAUCCCGCGGUGAAUAUGCCCCUGCUCCUUGCACACACCGCCCGU
Molecule: ribosomal RNA, 1342 nt
Filed under: uncultured sediment archaeon
Lineage: Archaea
Description: bacterial SSU rRNA
Rfam family: Archaeal small subunit ribosomal RNA
Source: RNAcentral